Long non-coding RNA from Melanotaenia boesemani (Boeseman's rainbowfish), 399 nucleotides. RefSeq lists it as uncharacterized. The transcript is spliced from 3 exons. NCBI's taxonomy places the organism in Eukaryota, Metazoa, Chordata, Actinopteri, Atheriniformes, Melanotaeniidae. The record is from RefSeq and is a predicted model, not a curated record.
CUUAUCCUAGUUGAUCCCAGUCUCAUCCUAGUUGAUCCCAGUCUCAUCCUAGUUAAUCCCAGCCUCAUCCUAGUUGAUCCCAGCCUCAUCCUAGUUGAUCCCAGCCUCAUCCUAUUAAUCCCAGCCUCAUCCUAGUUGAUCCCAGCCUCAUCCUAGUUGAUCCCAGCCUCAUCCUAGUUAAUCCCAGCCUUAUCCUAAUUAAUCCCAGCCUCAUUCUAGUUGAUCCCAGCAUCAUUCUAGUUGAUCCCAGCCACGUCCUAGUUGAUCCCAGCCUCAUCCUAGUUGAUCCCAGCUUCAUCCGAAUUAAUCCCAGCCUCAUCCUAGUUGAUCCUAGCCUCAUCCAAUUUAAUCCCAGUCUCAUCCUAGUUAAUCCCAGCUUCAUCCUAAUUAAUCCCAGCC